This 484-nucleotide ribosomal RNA is filed under the name Escherichia coli. RNAcentral describes it as "partial 23S ribosomal RNA". It matches the Rfam family "Bacterial large subunit ribosomal RNA", at positions 1 to 524 of the family's 2925-position model. The record is from RNAcentral. Lineage: Bacteria; Pseudomonadati; Pseudomonadota; Gammaproteobacteria; Enterobacterales; Enterobacteriaceae.
GGUUAAGCGACUAAGCGUACACGGUGGAUGCCCUGGCAGUCAGAGGCGAUGAAGGACGUGCUAAUCUGCGAUAAGCGUCGGUAAGGUGAUAUGAACCGUUAUAACCGGCGAUUUCCGAAUGGGGAAACCCAGUGUGUUUCGACACACUAUCAUUAACUGAAUCCAUAGGUUAAUGAGGCGAACCGGGGGAACUGAAACAUCUAAGUACCCCGAGGAAAAGAAAUCAACCGAGAUUCCCCCAGUAGCGGCGAGCGAACGGGGAGCAGCCCAGAGCCUGAAUCAGUGUGUGUGUUAGUGGAAGCGUCUGGAAAGGCGCGCGAUACAGGGUGACAGCCCCGUACACAAAAAUGCACAUGCUGUGAGCUCGAUGAGUAGGGCGGGACACGUGGUAUCCUGUCUGAAUAUGGGGGGACCAUCCUCCAAGGCUAAAUACUCCUGACUGACCGAUAGUGAACCAGUACCGUGAGGGAAAGGCGAAAAGAAC